This 1287-nucleotide ribosomal RNA is filed under the name metagenome. Its description in RNAcentral is "bacterial SSU rRNA". It matches the Rfam family "Bacterial small subunit ribosomal RNA", at positions 242 to 1520 of the family's 1533-position model. The record is from RNAcentral.
UAGCUAGUUGGUGAGGUAAAGGCUUACCAAGGCGAUGAUCUGUAGCGGGUCUGAGAGGAUGAUCCGCCACACUGGAACUGAGACACGGUCCAGACUCCUACGGGAGGCAGCAGUGGGGAAUUUUGGACAAUGGGGGCAACCCUGAUCCAGCCAUGCCGCGUGAGUGAAGAAGGCCUUCGGGUUGUAAAGCUCUUUCGGCCGGGAAGAAAUCGCAUAGGCCAAUACCCUGUGUGGAUGACGGUACCGGAAUAAGAAGCACCGGCUAACUACGUGCCAGCAGCCGCGGUAAUACGUAGGGUGCGAGCGUUAAUCGGAAUUACUGGGCGUAAAGCGUGCGCAGGCGGUUUUGUAAGACAGGCGUGAAAUCCCCGGGCUUAACCUGGGAACUGCGUUUGUGACUGCAAGGCUGGAGUACGGCAGAGGGGGGUGGAAUUCCACGUGUAGCAGUGAAAUGCGUAGAGAUGUGGAGGAACACCAAUGGCGAAGGCAGCCCCCUGGGUCGAUACUGACGCUCAUGCACCAAAGCGUGGGUAGCAAACAGGAUUAGAUACCCUGGUAGUCCACGCCCUAAACUAUGUCAACUAGGUGUUGGGUGGGUAAAACCAUUUAGUACCGUAGCUAACGCGUGAAGUUGACCGCCUGGGGAGUACGGCCGCAAGGUUAAAACUCAAAGGAAUUGACGGGGACCCGCACAAGCGGUGGAUGAUGUGGAUUAAUUCGAUGCAACGCGAAAAACCUUACCUACCCUUGACAUGCCAGGAACUUGCCAGAGAUGGCUUGGUGCCCGAAAGGGAGCCUGGACACAGGUGCUGCAAGGCUGUCGUCAGCUCGUGUCGUGAGAUGUUGGGUUAAGUCCCGCAACGAGCGCAACCCUUGUCGUUAAUUGCCAUCAUUUGGUUGGGCACUAUAACGAGACUGCCGGUGACAAACCGGAGGAAGGUGGGGAUGACGUCAAGUCCUCAUGGCCCUUAUGGGUAGGGCUUCACACGUCAUACAAUGGUCGGUACAAAGGGUUGCCAAGCCGCGAGGCGGAGCCAAUCCCAGAAAGCCGAUCGUAGUCCGGAUUGCAGGCUGCAACUCGCCUGCAUGAAGUCGGAAUCGCUAGUAAUCGUGGAUCAGCAUGUCACGGUGAAUACGUUCCCGGGUCUUGUACACACCGCCCGUCACACCAUGGGAGCGGGUUCCGCCAGAAGUAGGUAGCCUAACCGCAAGGGGGGCGCUUACCACGGCGGGGUUCGUGACUGGGGUGAAGUCGUAACAAGGUAGCCGUAGGGGAACCUGCGGCUG